Molecule: ribosomal RNA, 918 nt
Filed under: uncultured bacterium
Lineage: Bacteria
Description: bacterial SSU rRNA
Rfam family: Bacterial small subunit ribosomal RNA
Source: RNAcentral
GUUUGAUCCUGGCUCAGAUUGAACGCUGGCGGCAUGCCUUACACAUGCAAGUCGAACGGCAGCACGGGAGCAAUCCUGGUGGCGAGUGGCGAACGGGUGAGUAAUAUAUCGGAACGUGCCCAGUCGUGGGGGAUAACGCAGCGAAAGCUGUGCUAAUACCGCAUACGAUCUAUGGAUGAAAGCGGGGGAUCGCAAGACCUCGCGCGAUUGGAGCGGCCGAUAUCAGAUUAGCUAGUUGGUGGGGUAAAAGCCCACCAAGGCGACGAUCUGUAGCUGGUCUGAGAGGACGACCAGCCACACUGGAACUGAGACACGGUCCAGACUCCUACGGGAGGCAGCAGUGGGGAAUUUUGGACAAUGGGCGCAAGCCUGAUCCAGCAAUGCCGCGUGCAGGAUGAAGGCCUUCGGGUUGUAAACUGCUUUUGUACGGAACGAAACGGUCUCUCCUAAUACGAGGGGCUAAUGACGGUACCGUAAGAAUAAGCACCGGCUAACUACGUGCCAGCAGCCGCGGUAAUACGUAGGGUGCAAGCGUUAAUCGGAAUUACUGGGCGUAAAGCGUGCGCAGGCGGUUAUAUAAGACAGAUGUGAAAUCCCCGGGCUCAACCUGGGACCUGCAUUUGUGACUGUAUAGCUAGAGUACGGUAGAGGGGGAUGGAAUUCCGCGUGUAGCAGUGAAAUGCGUAGAUAUGCGGAGGAACACCGAUGGCGAAGGCAAUCCCCUGGACCUGUACUGACGCUCAUGCACGAAAGCGUGGGGAGCAAACAGGAUUAGAUACCCUGGUAGUCCACGCCCUAAACGAUGUCAACUGGUUGUUGGGUCUUCACUGACUCAGUAACGAAGCUAACGCGUGAAGUUGACCGCCUGGGGAGUACGGCCGCAAGGUUGAAACUCAAGGAAUUGACGGGACCCGCACA